This 85-nucleotide transfer RNA is filed under the name Triticum aestivum (bread wheat). It matches the Rfam family "tRNA". Rfam says of the family: Transfer RNA (tRNA) molecules are approximately 80 nucleotides in length. Lineage: Eukaryota; Viridiplantae; Streptophyta; Magnoliopsida; Poales; Poaceae. The record is from Rfam by way of RNAcentral. RNAcentral also lists the same sequence under 1 other name.
GCAUCCAUGGCUAAAUGGUGAAAGCGCCCACCAACCUAGAAAGGAAAAAUGGGUCAAAAAGUAGGUUCGAUUCCUGCCGGAUGCA